AUUGAACGCUGGCGGCAUGCCUUACACAUGCAAGUCGAACGGCAGCGGGGGAGAAGCUUGCUUUUCCUGCCGGCGAGUGGCGAACGGGUGAGUAAUACAUCGGAACGUGCCCUGGAGUGGGGGAUAACUAGUCGAAAGAUUAGCUAAUACCGCAUACGACCUGAGGGUGAAAGUGGGGGACCGCAAGGCCUCAUGCUAUAGACGCGGCCGGGGUCUGAUUAGCUGGUUGGUGGGGUAAAGGCCUACCAAGGCGACGAUCAGUAGCUGGUCUGAGAGGACGAUCAGCCACACUGGGACUGAGACACGGCCCAGACUCCUACGGGAGGCAGCAGUGGGGAAUUUUGGACAAUGGGCGAAAGCCUGAUCCAGCAAUGCCGCGUGUGUGAAGAAGGCCUUCGGGUUGUAAAGCACUUUUGUCCGGAAAGAGAUGGCUCUGGUUAAUACCUGGGGUCGAUGACGGUACCGGAAGAAUAAGGACCGGCUAACUACGUGCCAGCCGCCGCCGUAA
RNAcentral lists this ribosomal RNA (508 nucleotides) under uncultured bacterium. Its description in RNAcentral is "partial 16S ribosomal RNA". It matches the Rfam family "Bacterial small subunit ribosomal RNA", at positions 30 to 523 of the family's 1533-position model. The record is from RNAcentral.